UGUCUUCCACUUUCAUUUUCCAUUUUCCACUUCACUAGCUGCCAUUUCGUUAUUCCUCCUUCUUCUUCUUCUUCUACAAAAAAUGCUAUGUGCUUCUUCUCUGGGUUUUCCCUCUUCUCAUUUUGCUGUUAUUUUCUUUUUGAUUUUCGAAGUGUUGCAUGUGAGUAAUUUCUUUUACCUUAAUAAAAAAUUUAGAUUUUAACCUAAGAUUUGAAGUUGGGGUUUUAAAAAUUCAAUGUAACCAAGCAACUAAAUAGCAAAUAGGAUUUUUUGGAGCGCAAGAGGAAUAAACGGGUGAAGGAUGCAAAGAAGCUGCUUUUAUAGUGAUCUUUGAGCGGCUCAUAUUGAGAGGUUAUUGCACAACAAGGAUAAUGGAGAUCGCUCUGUUGAUGUUUGAUAAGAUGCUUUCCGAGGAUCUUGGCUCAUUGAUGUCAAUUAUACAUGGAUAUUCUGAAAAGGGCUUGUAAAGAGGUAACUAGGUUAAUCUACAUCCAUACGGAGGACUGUCUGAGCCUUGAUAUUGUUACUUUUGUUUAUCCUAGAUGCCUGUAAAGAAUUUGGUGUGUUUUGUUUAGGAAAGGAGUGCAUGAUUCCACUAAUUAGUUUUACUACUGUUAAUAUAUGUGUCAUAGGUGUAGAAAUCUUAUUAAGGAUUAUACUCUUUUAAUGGGAAACUCAAUGUCAUUUAGAAAGCCCAAAAAGUUCUCUCCUUGAGGCUUAUUUUUCCCUCUACUUUACAUGUACAUAUAAUUCAAACAUAUAUAAAAGGAUAAGGUAUUUAAUAGGAUAAAUACUUCUGUAAUCAGUGGCGUAUCUACAUGUUAUUUUUGGGUGCUCAAGCACCCAUUAUCUUUAACAAGAUUUAGUAAAUUUGUAUAGGUAUUUAUAAAAAUAUUGAGUGAGCACCCAUAACUAAACUCCUUUAUCCUCUUCUUUCAUAUUUUUUAUCAGUGAGCACCCGCGACUUUAAAAUCCUGGAUCCGCCACCGACUGUAAUGAGAUGGCAUAAAAAAGAUGUGAUGUGUAUUAAACUAUCACAUUUAACUUUUUGUAUCAUUGUACAUAGUACAGGUAACAGUCUAGGUGCACUGCUCAAGCUUGCGAACCUUUUCAAUUAUGUGUUAAAUUUGAAAUGAGAUUUUAAUCUAUAUCAUUGACCUCUUAGAUAAUAAUCUUAUGAUAUUCUUAUUUAUCUUUUUAAAAAAAAUUAGUAUGUCUCCUGAUUGCUGGUAAUUUAAAUGCAUAGUUUAAAAUUUAUAAUUGAUCCACAUGCAAUUAAAUAGUUGACUGAGGUGUCGUCAAGUGUUCAUUAUUCUAGAUUGCAGAUGAAGCAGGCACAUACUCCAGAAAUUGAGCAACCUACAUCUAUAAAUGAUAAGUGGGCGUAUGUAUAGUUCUCCAUUUAGCAAGAUUGAAGUGAAAUACUUUCGGAGUGUUUUAGAGAAAAUAUUGAAGAAAAGCAGUUCCGCAACCAGGUUUGUUUUUAUUUCCUAUCGAUUUGUUUUUUUCAGGGUCAUUGCAUCGAUAUUUUUGUUUACCUUUUUCGUGGCUUUUACUCUUCCUCUUCCAGUAAGGUUAUCCAUUUGUUGUAUACCUUUUAAGUUUAAAAGAUUGAGCUUUCAGGUUGCUUACAUUUCCCAUGCAUGACAACUAAUUUGUAUAGAGGAUUCAUGACAAUCAUGAAUUAGCAGGUGCUUCAGCAUGUUUAUGGAAUUCUAUUACACUGCCAAAACGUAAGCAAAUGUUUCUGAACGCUCAAAAUUAAUUUAGAAAAUAGUUCUUUUGAAAGAAAAUGGAAGAUAUUUCUUUUAGUACUUUUUUUGUUUUGUUCUUUUAGCACAAAACAUGCUGUAAACAGAAAUUAUCUUUUUCCUUAUCGCAACAAUGAUAUUUCCUUGGUAGAGACCAUUCUCAUGGCAAUGUAGCAUGUAUCAACUGGAACACAUUUCUCAAUCCAUAGCCAGUAGAAAUAGACAAAGGAGUGUGGAAAUGGUAAUUCAAGCGUUCAUCUAAGGUAUUGGUACUUCUUUUAAAAGAAAAUCUAUAUAUUAAGCUCAUAAUAUAUAGGAGUAUAAUUUUUCUCGGGGUAGCUUAUAGCCUAUUGUUCACUUUUAAGACUUUCCUUCAAGACCUCUAACUUUAGACUGUGAACAUCGUCAAAUCUUAGCCUUCUUGGGUUCAAAUUUUCGAGCUAAUGUAAUUUUUUAAAUAUAUAUGCCAACACAAUUUAAGUUUUAUUUUCAUCCUUUUUGAUUUACACUGAAGUAGUUAUGUCUAUAUAUAUCUUGAGACUGAAUACAAAAGACACUAAGAAAUUCUUGAGACAUUGCAAAACAGAAUGACUUAAUCGUUCAAUGGCUUGACUAUAUCCUUUCGUAGAGUGGAAAAGGUGAAUUUACUCUUUUUCAUCAAAUGAAUUGUUCCUAAGGCAAAACCAAGUGAAGUUACUUUCAAUAUGAUGUUUGAAAACAUUGAUGAGAAGUAUAUUUUUUGGCAUUUGAAUGUGUUUGUCAGUUGCCUUUUUUUACUUCAUAUUUGUUAUGAACUUGCUGAUGUGCUCAAAUAUUCCAUCCAUCAUUUUUGUUAUUAUUUAUUCUAUUGGAUUAGCUUAAGAGAUAAGUUUAUUUUUAUGAUACUUCCAGUUUUUUUUUUUGCUUGAAAAUGUGACGUUAUCUUCUUUGAGAAAUUACUUUCACAUCACAAUAGUGAGCUGUGAGCAGUAUCCCUUUAUUGGGAUGGAGAAGGGAAAAGGCCAGUGCAAUACCCUGCUUCCUAUUGAGGCUUUGACUGCACAAUUACACUCUGUAGUGGAAAGGAGGCAAAUAUUAUUCAAACUUAAACCUUUGUAGUGGAAGGAAAAUAGUAACUUUGUACAACUGCUGCUCUGGAUAGUUUAUCCUUUUGUACGAGUGAUGAACUAAAAACAUUCUGUUAUCUUUCAACUAUACACUUUUUUGUGUAUAAACUAUCAUGGCAAUGUAGCUAUAUCUUUUUUUA
Nicotiana tabacum (common tobacco) is the source of this 2997-nucleotide long non-coding RNA. RefSeq lists it as uncharacterized. The record is from RefSeq and is a predicted model, not a curated record. Lineage: Eukaryota; Viridiplantae; Streptophyta; Magnoliopsida; Solanales; Solanaceae.